CCUACGGGUGGCAGCAGUGGGGGAUAUUGCACAAUGGGGGGAACCCUGAUGCAGCGACGCCGCGUGGGUGAAGGAGUGCUUCGGCAUGUAAAGCCCUAUCGGCAGGGAAGAAGCAAGACGGUACCUGACUAAGAAGCGCCUGCUAACUACGUGCCAGCAGCCGCGGUAAUACGUAGGGGGCGAGCGUUAUCCGGAUUGACUGGGUGUAAAGGGAGCGUAGACGGCCAUGCAAGCCAGGGGUGAAAGCCCGGGGCCCAACCCCGGGACUGCCCUUGGAACUGGGCGGCUAGAGUGCGGGAGGGGCAGGCGGAAUUCCUGGUGUAGCGGUGAAAUGCGUAGAUAUCAGGAAGAACACCGGCGGCGAAGGCGGCCUGCUGGACUGCGACUGACGUUGAGGCUCGAAAGCGUGGGGAGCGAACAGGAUUAGAUACCCUGGUAGUC
RNAcentral lists this ribosomal RNA (441 nucleotides) under uncultured bacterium. Its description in RNAcentral is "partial 16S ribosomal RNA". It matches the Rfam family "Bacterial small subunit ribosomal RNA", at positions 338 to 795 of the family's 1533-position model. The record is from RNAcentral.